GUCCCAUUCGUCUAGAGGCCUAGGACACCGCCCUUUCACGGCGGUAACAGGGGUUCGACUCCCCUAUAGGACGCCA
RNAcentral lists this transfer RNA (76 nucleotides) under Grimontia hollisae. RNAcentral describes it as "tRNA-Glu(ttc)". It matches the Rfam family "tRNA". From Rfam's summary of the family: Transfer RNA (tRNA) molecules are approximately 80 nucleotides in length. Their secondary structure includes four short double-helical elements and three loops (D, anti-codon, and T loops). Further hydrogen bonds mediate the characteristic L-shaped molecular structure. tRNAs have two regions of fundamental functional importance: the anti-codon, which is responsible for specific mRNA codon recognition, and the 3' end, to which the tRNAs corresponding amino acid is attached (by aminoacyl-tRNA synthetases). tRNAs cope with the degeneracy of the genetic code in two manners: having more than one tRNA (with a specific anti-codon) for a particular amino acid; and 'wobble' base-pairing, i.e. permitting non-standard base-pairing at the 3rd anti-codon position. Lineage: Bacteria; Pseudomonadati; Pseudomonadota; Gammaproteobacteria; Vibrionales; Vibrionaceae. The record is from RNAcentral.